This 277-nucleotide ribosomal RNA is filed under the name uncultured archaeon. RNAcentral describes it as "partial 16S rRNA". It matches the Rfam family "Archaeal small subunit ribosomal RNA", at positions 1047 to 1325 of the family's 1478-position model. The record is from RNAcentral.
GAGACCUGUACCCUCUAUUGCUAACGACCACAUGUGGGAUCGAGCACUUUGAGGGGACUGCCCAGGAAACAGGGAGGAAGGUGCAGGCUACGGUAGGUCUGUAUGCUCCGAAUGGUCUAGGCUACACGCGCGCAACAAUGAUUGGGACAAUGGGACGCAACUCCGAAAGGAGAAGCUAAGCCUCUAAACCAUAUCCCAGUCCAGAUCGUGGUUUGUAACUCAGCCACGUGACGUUGGAAUCCCUAGUAACCAGACGUUAGCAUCGUCCGGUGAAUAU